Molecule: ribosomal RNA, 600 nt
Filed under: uncultured bacterium
Lineage: Bacteria
Description: bacterial SSU rRNA
Rfam family: Bacterial small subunit ribosomal RNA
Source: RNAcentral
CUCCGAGUCCUUUAACUGACGCUAAUGCUCGAAAGUGCGGGUAUCGAACAGGAUUAGAUACCCUGGUAGUCCGCACGGUAAACGAUGGAUGCCCGCUGUUGGCGAUACAUUGUCAGCGGCCAAGCGAAAGCGUUAAGCAUCCCACCUGGGGAGUACGCCGGCAACGGUGAAACUCAAAGGAAUUGACGGGGGCCCGCACAAGCGGAGGAACAUGUGGUUUAAUUCGAUGAUACGCGAGGAACCUUACCCGGGCUUGAACUGCAGGCGAACGAUUCAGAGAUGAUGAGGCCCUUCGGGGCGCCUGUGGAGGUGCUGCAUGGUUGUCGUCAGCUCGUGCCGUGAGGUGUCGGCUUAAGUGCCAUAACGAGCGCAACCCCUUUCAUUAGUUGCCAUCAGGUGAUGCUGGGCACUCUAGUGACACUGCCACCGUAAGGUGUGAGGAAGGUGGGGAUGACGUCAAAUCAGCACGGCCCUUACGUCCGGGGCUACACACGUGUUACAAUGGGUGGUACAGAGAGUCAGUGCAACGCAAGUUGUAUUCAAUCAUGAAAGCCAUCCUCAGUUCGGAUUGGGGUCUGCAACCCGACCCCAUGAAGCUGG